UUGGACGCUGGCGGAAUGCUUUACACAUGCAAGUCGAACGGUAGAGGGGGCAACCCCUUGAGAGUGGCGAACGGGUGAGUAAUAUAUCGGAACGUGCCCAGUCGUGGGGGAUAACGUAGCGAAAGUUACGCUAAUACCGCAUACGAUCUAAGGAUGAAAGCGGGGGAUCGCAAGACCUCGCGCGACUGGAGCGGCCGAUAUCAGAUUAGGUAGUUGGUAGGGUAAAGGCCUACCAAGCCAACGAUCUGUAGCUGGUCUGAGAGGACGACCAGCCACACUGGAACUGAGACACGGUCCAGACUCCUACGGGAGGCAGCAGUGGGGAAUUUUGGACAAUGGGCGAAAGCCUGAUCCAGCCAUUCCGCGUGCAGGAUGAAGGCCCUCGGGUUGUAAACUGCUUUUGUACAGAACGAAAAGGUUUCUAUUAAUACUAGGAGCUCAUGACGGUACUGUAAGAAUAAGCACCGGCUAACUACGUG
This 479-nucleotide ribosomal RNA is filed under the name uncultured bacterium. Its description in RNAcentral is "partial 16S ribosomal RNA". It matches the Rfam family "Bacterial small subunit ribosomal RNA", at positions 30 to 507 of the family's 1533-position model. The record is from RNAcentral.